GGGGGGGGGCAAGUAGAGGACGUGUGAAAUGGAGGCACGCAGUCGACCUAUUGGGUGGAUGGGUGUCUGGGGUGGAUGUGCAUUUGAUGUGCGCGUGCACACACGCACACACACAAAUACACAUAUAAACACAUGCCCACACACGCAUGCACAUAUUGCCCCGGAUGUGAACCCACAUAGCCACGAGCACACAUAUACAUACAUAUAAAUACACACACACACACACACACACACACACACACACACACACACACACACACACACACACACACACAAAAACAUGCACACACACACACACAGAAACAGGAUUUAUUCUAGAGCACACAAAAAUAACAUGGGACACAUACAGAUGUAUGCACCUAAGCAAAAACAUAAAGCCCAUCAAAUAUGUAAAUACAAACCUAGCAUAUUUUGCGGAGGCAAGCAUUCACCAAGCAAAUUCAGAAGGUUGGCAAACACGCACGCACGCACGCACGUACGCACGCACGCACGCACGCACACACACACACACACACACACACACACACACACACACACACACACACACACACACACACACACACACACACACACAAACAUGCAACCCCUCACACACAGCCAGCCACCAACAGGCAAACACUCACAAACAACACACUCAGCAGUUAGACAGAUUGGAAUGGGUGUAGGAAGAAGGAAAUAAAGUAAAUUAUUCACCAGCAGUGCUACAUUACUCAGUCGUCAAUAACAGGCAGUGGUGCUAGUGUUAAGAAAAAAGGAAGCCCCCAUAUAAUCUAUGGUCAAUAGGCCUCUUAUAUUUUAGCAGUGAUGAUCUUGUUGUCCAUUUUCCUAAUUAUACUGCUUUGUUAAACAGCCCCUGCGAGGUUCCGACCAGUAGACAAUGUCCUGGUGUCACUGAUGGCAUUGCCAAUACCUUUCAUUUGACAGUGAAAGUGUGUUGAUAUUUGGUCGCUGCUAGCUGUGCUAAGCAGUGACUGCUCUCAGCAUGAAUUCUUUAUAAGAUGAUCCAUAAAGCAAUCAUGGCCAACAUACUUAAUCUACUGAAAGUAUUGUGUUCAAAGCAGUGCCACUCACAGCAGGCUGAAAUGAAUUUAGACAGUGGUGAGUUUCAAUAGCAUUUCUCAAAAAAGCAAUAUACCUUUCUAAAUCUGCAUUUUAAUUCUCUGCAACACCUGCUCUUAUUCAUGUCCAAAAUAGUUUGAUCUGUUGAUAAUCUGAAAUACGUUUGUGUUAGGCUAAGAUAUUGGCCCUAUAAAUGUUACCUGUUUUGUUCUCAAAACAUAUAAAAGGCAUGAUUCCAAACGGCAUGGUAAAAUUGGCAUUAGACCAUACGUGUAGAACUCCUGAUUUAUCUUACAGCUGUUUAGAGAAGGGCUGCGGAUCCAGACCUGGUUGGUCAAUCUAAAUCCUAUACCAGGAUUGAUUUCCUUUUUCUCUCUCUCUCUCUCUCUCUCUCUCUCUCUCUCUCUCUCUCUCUCUCUCUCUCUCUCUCUCUCUCUCUCUCCCCCCCCUCUCUUUCCCCCUCUCACAUUCCCUGCAUCUCAUCCCUACAUGUGCGCGUGCGUGCACCAAUGUCUGUGUCUAUACCAAUGCCUGUGUGUUACACUGCUUGCCUGUGCGCUGUCGUACGUGAGUACAUGUGAAUAUGUGCGUGCUACACGUGUGAGUAAGUAGGUGUCCGGACACAUCAGGGCUCUGCGACGGGCCGCUGAGAGAAAUCUGUCCCUGGAGGGUUGAAGCAGCAGCGCCCCAUAAAGUUAAACCCUCAGAGAGGAGCCACACCACAGAACACAGGCAGGCAGUCGUGGAAAUAAAACGCCGUUCAAAUUGCAAUAUUGAAGACAGUUUAAAUAUUAAAACGCAUACAUCCAUAUGACUUUCUCUGCCUUAGAACCCUUAAAAAACAUCAUUGCUCUUGUGUAGUUGUUUCAAUGCGUUGCAAACUGAUUCAUCUCUAUUGUACUUGUAUGCUGGUCUAUCUCUAGGGCCUGCCGGGUGACAAAAACAGGCCCAUGGUAUGCAACAACAUGGCGCCUGGCCAUGCACCACUUAUGCAGUAGAAUGACCUAGAAGAACAUAAUUAAUUCAUGUCCAAUUAUUACAUCCCCCGGUAUCCCUACUGGAUAAAGUACAACUCACCGUGCCCAUCAGUGAAAGCAAUCCCACAGCCGUUCUGCACACCCACACAUCUGUGGCGCUCCAGAACACGAUCAUAUACAGAGUCGUGGCUGCAUAUUAAUUGGAUAAAAUACCACCAUGACCAUCCAACCAUGCAGCACCUUGUGGCUAGCGUUUCUGGGGGAUCUCGGAGAUAAGCUGAUGCUAAAAAAGGUUUUGCUGCUGCAUAUAACGUGUCUCGGUUGGAGAAAACAUUACAGGAGAACUGACUUGUUAGUUUGUUUCAUUCCAUUAUUAUUCCGGCCUAUUUUUCGAAUGCUACAAAUAAAAAUAUAAACAUUGAUUUUGAUACAUAGAACAUCAGAUUUUGAUACAUUUGAUAGACUGAAUGUUUUUGUAUCGGACAACAGUCUUUCCAAACCUAUAGUGCUGGAAGGUGCAGCUUUAUAAUAAAACAUUUACAUGUUUAUAUAAGACUCUCAUCCAUGCUGUAUCUAUCCAUAAGGCAAGGAUAUGAAGGCUACAUUGAGCUAAUGUGAUGGCCCAUCACAACAAAUCCUUAAGGGGGAUAACAAAGUCCUACAUCUUUGUAGGAAUCAUCUGUUUUACUUACCAUAUUGCAUAAGUAGGUCUAAUGUACACUGAAUGUGAUUUCUACUUACCUUCACUAAACACAUAAAAACUAGAGAUUACGAAGGCGUUAAUGUGAAGAUUAGUGUAUUCCUUGUGCUGGAUUGUGUUGCCUGCUUCUCAUAAAAAAUACAUAAAAUGAAAAAAUAUAUUAUUUACAGCACUAAAAAAAAUAUUGUUGGUGUUCAAAAUGUAGCUUUAGUUAAAUUUCUCUGCAUUAGGAAUUGCUUAUUGCUUAUUUUAAUACACUAACUAUUGACAUUGUAUUUCAUUGGCUUUCAUCAUGAGUGUCCUGACAACGAGAGGGAAGACAGAAUGUUCUUCAGUAGGUUAACUGUUCCUCCUGUUUGGUUAAUUGCCACUGCUGGUCAUUUUCAAGCAUGACUUGCUGUUUCAUGCUUGGAACAGCGUGGUGGUCGUCCGUGGAGAGAAUAACUGAUGGCAGAUCAUUAGUGUCUGUCAGUCCCUUAGACUCUGACAGGAUCCUUCUCACGGCGCAGUUUUGUUCUUGUAGAUUUUGUUUUUUAACUGCUGUAGAGGGGCUUCAGUAGUACUUAGUAUUCAUUGAUAAUGACGGAUUCCGAUUUUCCUCAUAUGCGCUUUCCUGCUUAUUUUUCAUGCAUGAGUGGCUUUCUUUUUCAUGACAAAGAUAAGUGCCAAGUUGGAAACUGGUUGUUUCUGUUUUUCUUUUUUACUUCCCUUCUGCAGUGUCAUAGCCGUCAAACCAGGGCUCUCUUAUUUGGCAGCAAACACACAAUCCUUGAGCAUGUACCUUAUUGACCUAUUCACAUGAACUGAAAUCCUUCCAAUUUUUUUAAACACCGAUCCGAGAUGAAUAAUUCUUAACAUGUUUGAAAAAUAAAUAUGAUUAAAGUCGCAAUGUGCAAUAUUUAAACAGUGUAGCUUAAAGUAACCUGGACAAGUCUUCAAUGCUGAUCAAUAGUGAUUCCUAUAUCGUUAUCAAUAAUAUCAAAUACUGUAACCAAUACAUUAAAAAAUAAAAAAUGCUU
Long non-coding RNA from Gadus morhua (Atlantic cod), 3755 nucleotides. RefSeq lists it as uncharacterized. The record is from RefSeq and is a predicted model, not a curated record. The transcript has 2 exons. NCBI's taxonomy places the organism in Eukaryota, Metazoa, Chordata, Actinopteri, Gadiformes, Gadidae.